GACGAACGCUGGCGGCGUGCUUAACACAUGCAAGUCGAGCGGUAAGGCCCUUUCGGGGGUACACGAGCGGCGAACGGGUGAGUAACACGUGGGUGACCUGCCCUCAGCUCUGGGAUAAGCCUGGGAAACUGGGUCUAAUACCGGAUAUGACCUGCUGCUUCAUGGUGGUGGGUGGAAAGUCGGUGUUGUAGUGACACUGUUCGGCUGGGGAUGGGCCCGCGGCCUAUCAGCUUGUUGGUGGGGCGAUGGCCUACCAAGGCGACGACGGGUAGCCGGCCUGAGAGGGCGACCGGCCACACUGGGACUGAGACACGGCCCAGACUCCUACGGGAGGCAGCAGUGGGGAAUAUUGCGCAAUGGGCGGAAGCCUGACGCAGCGACGCCGCGUGGGGGAUGACGGCCUUCGGGUUGUAAACCUCUUUCG
Molecule: ribosomal RNA, 424 nt
Filed under: uncultured bacterium
Lineage: Bacteria
Description: bacterial SSU rRNA
Rfam family: Bacterial small subunit ribosomal RNA
Source: RNAcentral